UGGGGAAUAUUGCACAAUGGGCGCAAGCCUGAUGCAGCGACGCCGCGUGAGGGAUGACGGCCUUCGGGUUGUAAACCUCUUUCAGUAGGGAAGAAGCUUUCGGGUGACGGUACCUGCAGAAGAAGCGCCGGCUAACUACGUGCCAGCAGCCGCGGUAAUACGUAGGGCGCAAGCGUUAUCCGGAAUUAUUGGGCGUAAAGAGCUCGUAGGCGGUCUGUCGCGUCUGCUGUGAAAACCCAGGGCUUAACCCUGGGCCUGCAGUGGGUACGGGCAGACUAGAGUGCGGUAGGGGAGAUCGGAAUUCCUGGUGUAGCGGUGAAAUGCGCAGAUAUCAGGAGGAACACCGGUGGCGAAGGCGGAUCUCUGGGCCGUAACUGACGCUGAGGAGCGAAAGCAUGGGGAGCGAAC
RNAcentral lists this ribosomal RNA (408 nucleotides) under uncultured bacterium. RNAcentral's name for it is "bacterial SSU rRNA". It matches the Rfam family "Bacterial small subunit ribosomal RNA", at positions 355 to 773 of the family's 1533-position model. The record is from RNAcentral.